This 468-nucleotide ribosomal RNA is filed under the name uncultured bacterium. Its description in RNAcentral is "partial 16S ribosomal RNA". It matches the Rfam family "Bacterial small subunit ribosomal RNA", at positions 28 to 507 of the family's 1533-position model. The record is from RNAcentral.
GACGAACGCUGGCGGCGUGCUUAACACAUGCAAGUCGAACGGAAAGGCCCUGCUUUUGUGGGGUGCUCGAGUGGCGAACGGGUGAGUAACACGUGAGUAACCUGCCCUUGACUUUGGGAUAACUUCAGGAAACUGGGGCUAAUACCGGAUAGGAGCUCCUGCUGCAUGGUGGGGGUGGGAAAGUUUCGGUGGUUGGGGAUGGACUCGCGGCUUAUCAGCUUGUUGGUGGGGUAGUGGCUUACCAAGGCUUUGACGGGUAGCCGGCCUGAGAGGGUGACCGGCCACAUUGGGACUGAGAUACGGCCCAGACUCCUACGGGAGGCAGCAGUGGGGAAUAUUGCACAAUGGGCGGAAGCCUGAUGCAGCAACGCCGCGUGCGGGAUGACGGCCUUCGGGUUGUAAACCGCUUUCGCCUGUGACGAAGCGUGAGUGACGGUAAUGGGUAAAGAAGCACCGGCUAACUACGUG